CCGAGCGACUCCUUGAAGUCAGACAAGGAGGAUACAAUGAUUUUGGGCGAAAAAUUAAAAAUAAUUGAAGUUCGUGUGCGUGAAGAGCGGGUGGGAGGGGGCAGCGGGGUCAGGCACAUCAAAGGGUGCCGUGGAGGUGCUGAGUGAGGUUUGCUGAGUGGGAGCGCACGAUUGCCUCAAAAGGAAAGAAAUGCUCCUGAAUUUUUUACUGUCUCGGUCCUGUUUCAUACCAGCCCUGUGGAGGCACAGGGAGAGCCUUCCUGAGAGCCAGGGCCUUUCCUAACCCCGGACUCCGUUUUUCUGAACGUGCCGUGACUUUUGAGGACCACGCAUGGUUACCCAGCCCGGGGCACUGCUGGAGCAGCUGGGGGGAGCUGUGACACACGGAGGGAGAAGUGCCCUUGUGCUCCUUGUGCUCCGCCUUGGCUUUCAUCUGCAGAGCGUGUAGCUGCAAGUGCGGCGUGUUUACAAAUGCAGGCAUUGCAAGAUCCCUUGAACUGUGUCCUAGUACAAAAGAGGCUUUGAAACGAGAAACACGUUGUCAUGGCAUGUUCCAGGCCAGCAGCACCAGACUGAACCAGAUAAUUGCUGUUUCUGCUUCAGCGUGGAAAAAGCAGCAGGUGUGUUCCUGCCCCAGGCACAUCACCCUGUGGAGGCAGUAUUGCCAUCACAGGGCCUUUGGGGAUGGCCAGACAGGAAAGCUCUGCAUGGGAAGGGUUUUUCACCACAUGUGCCGUGUUAAAACUGCAAACGGAGCAGGCUGGGUGAUACCACACAGCUGAUGGAAUCAGGAAUGCCUGGAAAUAAAAGGCAGCUCCCCCAGCUCCUCCUGUGCUUGUGGCUGUCCUGGGCUGGUGGGAGCUGGCUGGGCUCUGUCCUGGGCUGCCUGUUCCUGGCAUCCAGCUCUGCACCCACACAGA
Passer montanus (Eurasian tree sparrow) is the source of this 920-nucleotide long non-coding RNA. RefSeq lists it as uncharacterized. NCBI's taxonomy places the organism in Eukaryota, Metazoa, Chordata, Aves, Passeriformes, Passeridae. The transcript has 3 exons. The record is from RefSeq and is a predicted model, not a curated record.